UGCGCAGGCGGUUGUGUAAGACAGGUGUGAAAUCCCCGGGCUUAACCUGGGAACUGCGCUUGUGACUGCACAGCUAGAGUACGGCAGAGGGGGGUGGAAUUCCUGGUGUAGCAGUGAAAUGCGUAGAUAUCAGGAGGAACACCGAUGGCGAAGGCAGCCCCCUGGGCCUGUACUGACGCUCAUGCACGAAAGCGUGGGGGAGCAAACA
RNAcentral lists this ribosomal RNA (208 nucleotides) under uncultured bacterium. Its description in RNAcentral is "partial 16S ribosomal RNA". It matches the Rfam family "Bacterial small subunit ribosomal RNA", at positions 568 to 774 of the family's 1533-position model. The record is from RNAcentral.